UGACCUGGCGGCAGCCUACACAUGCAAGUCGUACGGAGAGUGGGGCAACUCACUCUCAGUGGCAAACGGGUGAGUAACGCGUGAAUAACCUGCCUUUGAGAAGGGGAUAACUGUCCGAAAGGAUAGCUAAUACCCUAUAUUGCCUUUUGUCACUAAGGCAAAAGGUGAAAGCGAGGCUGUCAAAGGCUUCGGCUCAAAGAGGGGUUCGCGUCCUAUCAGGUAGUUGGUGGGGUAAUGGCCUACCAAGCCAAUGACGGGUAGCUGGUCUUAGAGGAUGAUCAGCCACAGUGGGACUGAGACACGGCCCAGACUCCUACGGGAGGCAGCAGUGGGGAAUAUUGGACAAUGGGCGCAAGCCUGAUCCAGCCAUGCCGCGUGAGUGAUGAAGGCCUUAGGGUUGUAAAGCUCUUUUAUCCGGGACGAUAAUGACGGUACCGGAGGAGUAAGCCCCGGCUAACUUCGUGCCAGCAGCCGCGGUAAU
RNAcentral lists this ribosomal RNA (481 nucleotides) under uncultured bacterium. Its description in RNAcentral is "bacterial SSU rRNA". It matches the Rfam family "Bacterial small subunit ribosomal RNA", at positions 36 to 524 of the family's 1533-position model. The record is from RNAcentral.